Molecule: ribosomal RNA, 640 nt
Filed under: Bacillus sp. (in: firmicutes)
Lineage: Bacteria; Bacillati; Bacillota; Bacilli; Caryophanales; Bacillaceae
Description: bacterial SSU rRNA
Rfam family: Bacterial small subunit ribosomal RNA
Source: RNAcentral
UGCCUGUAAGAUCGGGAUAACGCCGGGAAACCGGGGCUAAUACCGGAUAGUUUUUUCCUCCGCAUGGAGGAAAAAGGAAAGACGGCUUCUGCUGUCACUUACAGAUGGGCCCGCGGCGCAUUAGCUAGUUGGUGGGGUAACGGCUCACCAAGGCAACGAUGCGUAGCCGACCUGAGAGGGUGAUCGGCCACAUUGGGACUGAGACACGGCCCAAACUCCUACGGGAGGCAGCAGUAGGGAAUCUUCCGCAAUGGACGAAAGUCUGACGGAGCAACGCCGCGUGAGUGAAGAAGGCCUUCGGGUCGUAAAACUCUGUUGCCGGGGAAGAACAAGUGCCGUUCGAACAGGGCGGCGCCUUGACGGUACCCGGCCAGAAAGCCACGGCUAACUACGUGCCAGCAGCCGCGGUAAUACGUAGGUGGCAAGCGUUGUCCGGAAUUAUUGGGCGUAAAGCGCGCGCAGGCGGCUUCUUAAGUCUGAUGUGAAAUCUUGCGGCUCAACCGCAAGCGGUCAUUGGAAACUGGGAGGCUUGAGUGCAGAAGAGGAGAGUGGAAUUCCACGUGUAGCGGUGAAAUGCGUAGAGAUGUGGAGGAACACCAGUGGCGAAGGCGGCUCUCUGGUCUGUAACUGACGCUGAGGC